GAUGAACGCUGGCGGCGUGCCUAAUACAUGCAAGUCGAGCGAACAGACGAGGAGCUUGCUCCUUCGACGUUAGCGGCGGACGGGUGAGUAACACGUAGGUAACCUACCUAUAAGACUGGGAUAACUUCGGGAAACCGGAGCUAAUACCGGAUAAUAUUUCGAACCGCAUGGUUCGAUAGUGAAAGAUGGCUUUGCUAUCACUUAUAGAUGGACCUGCGCCGUAUUAGCUAGUUGGUAAGGUAACGGCUUACCAAGGCAACGAUACGUAGCCGACCUGAGAGGGUGAUCGGCCACACUGGAACUGAGACACGGUCCAGACUCCUACGGGAGGCAGCAGUAGGGAAUCUUCCGCAAUGGGCGAAAGCCUGACGGAGCAACGCCGCGUGAGUGACGAAGGUCUUCGGAUCGUAAAACUCUGUUAUUAGGGAAGAACAAACGUGUAAGUAACUGUGCACGUCUUGACGGUACCUAAUCAGAAAGCCACGGCUAACUACGUG
Molecule: ribosomal RNA, 497 nt
Filed under: uncultured bacterium
Lineage: Bacteria
Description: partial 16S ribosomal RNA
Rfam family: Bacterial small subunit ribosomal RNA
Source: RNAcentral